GGCAACCCUCCCGCGGAGGCCGAGAGAGGCCACCGGCCCUUUGUUGAUCUGCGAGAAAUCAAACUACGAACACGACAAGCAUUAGCCUGCAGCUCGAGGAGACAAGGUGUCACAAUUACAAGGGGAAACUAGCCGCCCUAGCUCCACUGUCUCCCCAGCACGAGAGAUUUGAGAACAGAAAGGCUUCCCUCCGCAGGGCGAAACUGCUGGGCUGCCUGGAAGGGCGAGGCAGGGAGCGGAACCGUCUUCAGGAAAUUUCGGGAGUUCCGGGGUCAGGUCCACUCCCCGGCUGUUGUUGUGUUGUUGGCAGGGCAGAGGGUCUAGGAUGCCAGCCUGCUCCGGGCUGCGCUGUGCGCCUAGCCCAGGGCGGGGGGAUGCGGGGCGACACCCGCCUCCCGGUGCAUCCAGGAGUUGUAGUCUCUUCACCGGUUCCCCACUGUGGGUGGUGGGGCUGCAGGAGGACAAUUCAAAUUGAGAUAGGAGCGGAGGCGGAGCGCGGCCGUGCAGGGAGGGGCAGGGCGGUGUAGGCGGCUUCAUUUACCAAGCUUUGCUGGCCAUUGUUUCCAUGCCAAACCCUUGCCAAGGGGAUUGUCAGGAGAGGAACUUGAAGGGGAGGCGUGGGCUGGCCAGUGAGGAGGGUGUGUUUUUGCGAAGUGCGCCCCGUCUUUGCCGAAAUUAGGAGUGUCUGGUCCUCACUCACGCGGCUCUCUGCUGCUCAGGUCGAUUUUCUCUCCCACCCUCACCCAGGCUCUUUCCACAGCAUCACCCCUGCCCCAGCCCCUGGAGCCACCUGCUUUCCUAAGUGGUUUUGGAAACUGGGCUGAGGUCCCAAAGGGUGUCCACUGUGCUGUUGCUCUCCGCUCUGUCCAAGCAAAGCACAAGCUCAGCCGACUUUGAAAGACACCCACCGCCUGGCCUGGGAAUGCACAAGUUCAGAGCUUUGCAAGAAGUGAUCAUGGGCUAUGGCUUUGUGAAAAUGUCACCCUCACCAGUGCCUUUUUCGCGGACGUGGACGUGGAGGAAUGAGGGAGGGUAAUCACUGGGCUACCAAGGUACUGCUAAGAGCAGAAGAGAAAAUCCCAGUUUUCAGCCAUGUGUCUGGUUUGACAUUUCACCAACCCAUUUAAGUGUGCAGGCCCCCAAAUAUCUACCUAAAGAUUAUGAUAGUUUAGGCAUUUUACACUUGAAAUUAUUGACCUCAUAUCCACUGAAGCCUGACUGGCCAGUGUCUCAAAGACACAGAUGAUGACCUGAUCCCUCAGGAACAGCUGGUGCUCCAGCUUUGUGGAGGUGAAUUUCAAGGUAUGGAUUACUUGGGGGGUCGUUGAAACCUGUCAGGCUCAGGAACAGAUGGUGCUCCAGCUUUGUGGAGAUGAAUUUCAAGGAAUAAAUCCAACUUGAUCAUAACAUCCAACUGUGUUGCCCAGGCUAGUCUCAAACUCCUGGAUUCAAGAGCCCCUCUCCUCUCAGCCUACGAAAGUGCUGGGAUUAAAGUCCUGAACUGACAGCCACAAGUGGCACCUGAACAGGGACUUGAACAAAGAAGGUCUGCUGGAGCAGAAAAAGUGAAACUGACCAGAUGAAUGAGAAACCCUGGGAUGAGUCUGCCUGCAGAGGAUAUAAGGAGAUGGAUAAACCGUGUGAGUGCCCUCAAGUUGUGUGCGACCAUGGAAUGGGAGACUGGAGGGAUACAUGGAUCCCAACUACAGGCCCAGCUCCUCCAGUAUGAGCCAUGAGCCAGUUGAAUCUGAAUGUGAAGAUGGAAUGAAGACCGACGAGAGUCACACUGACGUCAACCCUCAUAACAUGGGGUCAGAUCAAGAAAACCACACCAGAAGCUGAGAAACUGGUGUAGUGCCAGGGUCAGGCAAAAACCCCUGACUCCAUGUUUAUGGCCAUGCUAGCUGUAAUAUCCUGUGCAGUAUGAUUUUUCUGUGCAGAAGCAAAAACAUAUUGGGCAUAUUUUCCUAACCCACCGGUAGUGUGAUCAUACUCUGAAGCAGCACUCCUCCUGAGAUAUAUCAUGAUCAAGGAGCAUCAGUACCAGGACCUCUAACUCCCCCUGACACAGAGCAAUUAGACUCUCAUAACAAUGGUAUCAAUUAUACCACUCCAUUGGAGGGACUUCCUUUAUGUGUCACCCAGGAUACAUUGCUCAACUGCAGUUGCCUUGCAGUUUGAUCCCAAGCAUGGUUGAGUUACCAUUAAAAAAUUAUGUACCUAUUAGACCUUAGCUUUAUUAAUAUUACUUGUGUAGUUACUAAUCACUCCUGGCCCCAUCACCCAAAUUGUACUGAUUAUACAGAAUGGGCUCCCUUUGAUAAUUCUCACCCCCCUCCUUGGGCCCACUGUCUUGGCCCCUUAGCUAGACAAUAGUCCAUGUUAAUGGGAGACAUUAUUGACUGGGGUCCCUGUGGUCAUUAAGAUGGGAGAGAUGAGAAUCAGACCACAUGGCAUAAACUUCACUGGCACUGGUGGCGAAACUUUAACAUCUCUUCACUUCAACACACUGGGAUUCAAUCCCAAUCUGCCAUGCAACUUGCUUGGCAUGGAACGGGCUUUAGCCCACCUUUGCCUCAAUGGCAUUAUCAAGGAAAGAGAGGUCCAAUUCAGGAGUCUAUGUGGAAGGCAGCACUCCCAUAUAUGAAUGGCAGCAUUUGGGUUGGGACACUAUCCAAUAAUAGUAAUAGUGCUCAAUACAGUUUAAUGUUACCUUUGUAAAAAAUGUUUGAAAUUUGUGUUUUUAAUCCCUAUGUUUUUCUAGCAGCAAAAAAGGACCAACUCCAGGUAAACAAUGCCCAAUUGAAUUGUGAUUCCUGUCAACUCUAUCAUUGCCUUAAUCAUAGCACAAUACAAACACACAGCAUAUCCACCCUAAUAAUUCUAGGUCGCAUUCCUGGAUUAUGGAUUCCUGUAAAUCUAUCUGAGCCUUGGGCAGCCACCCCCACUUUACAUUUUGUAAAACUUCUUACUCAGCUUACUCAUGGCACUCGUAGAGCCUUAGGCAUGAUAAUUUUUACUAUAGUCUCCUUAAUUACAUUAAUACCCUCUGUUGUGGUGUCCUCAGUAGCACUGGACAGCUCCACUCAAACAGCUCAAUAUGCAGAAAAUUGGAUGCAUACAGCUGACCAGGCAUGGAUGUUUCAAAAUAAAACUAACACUGAGAUACAAACAGAAGUGGCAAUGUUAAAGACUACUGUUCUGUGGCUAG
This 3211-nucleotide long non-coding RNA is filed under the name Homo sapiens (human). RNAcentral describes it as "HSALNT0385572". Lineage: Eukaryota; Metazoa; Chordata; Mammalia; Primates; Hominidae. The record is from RNAcentral.